This 660-nucleotide ribosomal RNA is filed under the name Bacillus sp. JSM 082014. Its description in RNAcentral is "bacterial SSU rRNA". It matches the Rfam family "Bacterial small subunit ribosomal RNA", at positions 117 to 763 of the family's 1533-position model. RNAcentral also lists the same sequence under 1 other name. The record is from RNAcentral. Lineage: Bacteria; Bacillati; Bacillota; Bacilli; Caryophanales; Bacillaceae.
GUGGGUAACCUGCCUGUAAGACUGGGAUAACUCCGGGAAACCGGAGCUAAUACCGGAUAGUUCCUUGAACCGCAUGGUUCAAGGAUGAAAGACGGUUUCGGCUGUCACUUACAGAUGGACCCGCGGCGCAUUAGCUAGUUGGUGAGGUAACGGCUCACCAAGGCGACGAUGCGUAGCCGACCUGAGAGGGUGAUCGGCCACACUGGGACUGAGACACGGCCCAGACUCCUACGGGAGGCAGCAGUAGGGAAUCUUCCGCAAUGGACGAAAGUCUGACGGAGCAACGCCGCGUGAGUGAUGAAGGUUUUCGGAUCGUAAAGCUCUGUUGUUAGGGAAGAACAAGUGCAAGAGUAACUGCUUGCACCUUGACGGUACCUAACCAGAAAGCCACGGCUAACUACGUGCCAGCAGCCGCGGUAAUACGUAGGUGGCAAGCGUUGUCCGGAAUUAUUGGGCGUAAAGGGCUCGCAGGCGGUUUCUUAAGUCUGAUGUGAAAGCCCCCGGCUCAACCGGGGAGGGUCAUUGGAAACUGGGAAACUUGAGUGCAGAAGAGGAGAGUGGAAUUCCACGUGUAGCGGUGAAAUGCGUAGAGAUGUGGAGGAACACCAGUGGCGAAGGCGACUCUCUGGUCUGUAACUGACGCUGAGGAGCGAAAGCGUG